RNAcentral lists this ribosomal RNA (466 nucleotides) under uncultured bacterium. Its description in RNAcentral is "bacterial SSU rRNA". It matches the Rfam family "Bacterial small subunit ribosomal RNA", at positions 355 to 825 of the family's 1533-position model. The record is from RNAcentral.
UGAGGAAUAUUGGACAAUGGGCGCAAGCCUGAUCCAGCCAUGCCGCGUGCAGGAUGACGGUCCUAUGGAUUGUAAACUGCUUUUGUACAGGAAGAAACAGUUCUACGUGUAGAACCUUGACGGUACUGUAAGAAUAAGGAUCGGCUAACUCCGUGCCAGCAGCCGCGGUAAUACGGAGGAUCCAAGCGUUAUCCGGAAUCAUUGGGUUUAAAGGGUCCGUAGGCGGUUAGAUAAGUCAGUGGUGAAAGCCCAUCGCUCAACGGUGGAACGGCCAUUGAUACUGUCUGACUUGAAUUAUUAGGAAGUAACUAGAAUAUGUAGUGUAGCGGUGAAAUGCUUAGAGAUUACAUGGAAUACCAAUUGCGAAGGCAGGUUACUACUAAUGGAUUGACGCUGAUGGACGAAAGCGUGGUAGCGAACAGGAUUAGAUACCCACGUAGUCCCUGAGCGGGCUGGCAAGGCGCAU